AUACAGAGGGUGCAAACGUUGUUCGGAAUCACUGGGCUUAAAGCGCGCGUAGGCGGCGACAUCAGUGUCUUGUGAAAGCCCCCGGCUCAACCGGGGAACUGCAGGGCAUACUGUGUUGCUAGAGUACGAGAGGGGAGAGGAGAACUCCUGGUGGAGCGGUGGAAUGCGUAGAUAUCAGGAGGAAUGCCAAAGGUGAAGACACCUCUCUGGCUCGUAACUGACGCUAAGGCGCGAAAGCUAGGGUAGCGAACGGGAUUAGAAACCCUGGUAGUCC
This 274-nucleotide ribosomal RNA is filed under the name uncultured bacterium. RNAcentral's name for it is "partial 16S ribosomal RNA". It matches the Rfam family "Bacterial small subunit ribosomal RNA", at positions 523 to 796 of the family's 1533-position model. The record is from RNAcentral.